Molecule: ribosomal RNA, 333 nt
Filed under: Escherichia coli
Lineage: Bacteria; Pseudomonadati; Pseudomonadota; Gammaproteobacteria; Enterobacterales; Enterobacteriaceae
Description: SSU rRNA
Rfam family: Bacterial small subunit ribosomal RNA
Source: RNAcentral
GAGGAAGGUGGGGAUGACGUCAAGUCAUCAUGGCCCUUACGACCAGGGCUACACACGUGCUACAAUGGCGCAUACAAAGAGAAGCGACCUCGCGAGAGCAAGCGGACCUCAUAAAGUGCGUCGUAGUCCGGAUUGGAGUCUGCAACUCGACUCCAUGAAGUCGGAAUCGCUAGUAAUCGUGGAUCAGAAUGCCACGGUGAAUACGUUCCCGGGCCUUGUACACACCGCCCGUCACACCAUGGGAGUGGGUUGCAAAAGAAGUAGGUAGCUUAACCUUCGGGAGGGCGCUUACCACUUUGUGAUUCAUGACUGGGGUGAAGUCGUAACAAGGUA